AUUAUCUGUGACGACCCAACAGAAGUAAGUAUUGGCUGAAUAGAAGCAUAAUAUUAAAAUAUUCAUCUCUCUUGGUAUCAUAAUGCUUGACUAGCUGCAGUGUGUGAGUAUGUGUGUGUGUCUGCAUAUUAUCAAUUGAAUAGUGCACAACUACCACUCAACCUGACCUGAUUGCAGCUUUUGUUUACUGUGUGUUUGUGUUUGUGUAUGUGUAAGAUUUUAUUUUGCUCAUCGAAGUGAAGUAAAUCAGGAAUACAAGACAGAGAGCGCAUACCAUCCCCUUGCUUGAGUGAUCCCACAGUGCUCAACAUAACCGCGUCGACAACGGGCCAACACGUGGAUUCAGCGUCAACGAAAACUGAGCAGAGCUAUCCGGCGCGGAAACCACAAGGCUUGCGUUGGCAGUGCAGUUCUGAGCCCUCCUCCCCAGAGUGAACGUUAAAAGCAGUAUAGCAUGCCCGUUUCUUGGCAGUGACAUCUCACUUCCAGCCGUGACAUACUGCACUGCGCCAUCGUGUGUCCACCCGGGGAUGCUACUGCCGUUCAGUGGAAAGAAUGCGGAGGAUGUUUCGUUCCAGUCUGUUGGUGGUAGUUCGAAAUCCGAAUUCUGCAGAGUAUCUGAAGGAGAAGAAACAAAACAAUGGUGAGUUAAGUGAUUGAAUUGGUUUGAUUAAUGAGCAGAAGUUUUUUUACCUGCUGAAGCUAAAGCUAACCAUAAGCAUGUGAUGAAAAAAUUCCUUAUCUCCA
Long non-coding RNA from Salvia splendens (bonfire salvia), 747 nucleotides. RefSeq lists it as uncharacterized. The transcript is spliced from 3 exons. The record is from RefSeq and is a predicted model, not a curated record. Lineage: Eukaryota; Viridiplantae; Streptophyta; Magnoliopsida; Lamiales; Lamiaceae.